AGAGGAAGCCGGUGCGAAUCCGGCGCGGUCCCGCCACUGUCACCGGGGAGCGUCACCCAGCGAGCCACGGCCCACGCGGCUGGAAGGCGGGAGCGGCGCGGAUCCGGGAGCCAGGAGACUC
This 121-nucleotide non-coding RNA is filed under the name Streptomyces sp. The record is from RNAcentral. Lineage: Bacteria; Bacillati; Actinomycetota; Actinomycetes; Kitasatosporales; Streptomycetaceae.